GGGCAUUUGGCACAGUGGUAGCGCGCACGCUUCGCAAGAUCCGGUGUUACAACUUGGGCUUACAUAUGCGUGAGGUCGAGAGUUCAAUCCUCUCAAUGUCCA
RNAcentral lists this transfer RNA (102 nucleotides) under Heterobasidion irregulare TC 32-1. It matches the Rfam family "tRNA". From Rfam's summary of the family: Transfer RNA (tRNA) molecules are approximately 80 nucleotides in length. Lineage: Eukaryota; Fungi; Basidiomycota; Agaricomycetes; Russulales; Bondarzewiaceae. The record is from Rfam by way of RNAcentral.